RNAcentral lists this ribosomal RNA (271 nucleotides) under uncultured bacterium. RNAcentral's name for it is "partial 16S ribosomal RNA". It matches the Rfam family "Bacterial small subunit ribosomal RNA", at positions 524 to 794 of the family's 1533-position model. The record is from RNAcentral.
UACGAAGGGUGCAAGCGUUGUUCGGAAUUACUGGGCGUAAAGAGCGCGUAGGCGGUUUAUUAAGUCAGACGUGAAAGCCCUGGGCUCAACCCGGGAAUUGCGUUUGAUACUGGUAGGCUUGAGAUUCAGAGAGGUGAGUGGAAUUCCUAGUGUAGCAGUGAAAUGCGUAGAUAUUAGGAGGAACAUCAGUGGCGAAGGCGGCUCACUGGCUGAACACUGACGCUAAGGCGCGAAAGCGUGGGGAGCAAACAGGAUUAGAAACCCCAGUAGU